RNAcentral lists this ribosomal RNA (468 nucleotides) under uncultured bacterium. Its description in RNAcentral is "partial 16S ribosomal RNA". It matches the Rfam family "Bacterial small subunit ribosomal RNA", at positions 28 to 507 of the family's 1533-position model. The record is from RNAcentral.
GACGAACGCUGGCGGCGUGCUUAACACAUGCAAGUCGAACGGCAAGGCCCUGCUUUUGUGGUGUGCUCGAGUGGCGAACGGGUGAGUAACACGUGAGUAACCUGCCCUUGACUUUGGGAUAACUUCAGGAAACUGGGGCUAAUACCGGAUCGGAGCUCCUGCUGCAUGGUGGGGGUUGGAAAGUUUCGGCGGUUGGGGAUGGACUCGCGGCUUAUCAGCUUGUUGGUGGGGUAGUGGCUUACCAAGGCUUUGACGGGUAGCCGGCCUGAGAGGGUGACCGGCGACAUUGGGACUGAGAUACGGCCCAGACUCCUACGGGAGGCAGCAGUGGGGAAUAUUGCACAAUGGGCGGAAGCCUGAUGCAGCAACGCCGCGGGCGGGAUGACGGCCUUCGGGUUGUAAACCGCUUGCGCCUGUGACGAAGCGUGAGUGACGGUAAUGGGUAAAGAAGCACCGGCUAAAUACGUG